This 1223-nucleotide ribosomal RNA is filed under the name Bacillus sp. (in: firmicutes). RNAcentral describes it as "bacterial SSU rRNA". It matches the Rfam family "Bacterial small subunit ribosomal RNA", at positions 191 to 1400 of the family's 1533-position model. Lineage: Bacteria; Bacillati; Bacillota; Bacilli; Caryophanales; Bacillaceae. The record is from RNAcentral.
GGUUCAAGGAUGAAAGACGGUUUCGGCUGUCACUUACAGAUGGACCCGCGGCGCAUUAGCUAGUUGGUGAGGUAACGGCUCACCAAGGCGACGAUGCGUAGCCGACCUGAGAGGGUGAUCGGCCACACUGGGACUNGAGACACGGCCCAGACUCCUACGGGANGGCAGCAGUAGGGAAUCUUCCGCAAUGGACGAAAGUCUGACGGAGCAACGCCGCGUGAGUGAUGAAGGUUUUCGGAUCGUAAAGCUCUGUUGUUAGGGAAGAACAAGUGCAAGAGUAACUGCUUGCACCUUGACGGUACCUAACCAGAAAGCCACGGCUAACUACGUGCCAGCAGCCGCGGUAAUACGUAGGUGGCAAGCGUUGUCCGGAAUUAUUGGGCGUAAAGGGCUCGCAGGCGGUUUCUUAAGUCUGAUGUGAAAGCCCCCGGCUCAACCGGGGAGGGUCAUUGGAAACUGGGAAACUUGAGUGCAGAAGAGGAGAGUGGAAUUCCACGUGUAGCGGUGAAAUGCGUAGAGAUGUGGAGGAACACCAGUGGCGAAGGCGACUCUCUGGUCUGUAACUGACGCUGAGGAGCGAAAGCGUGGGGAGCGAACAGGAUUAGAUACCCUGGUAGUCCACGCCGUAAACGAUGAGUGCUAAGUGUUAGGGGGUUUCCGCCCCUUAGUGCUGCAGCUAACGCAUUAAGCACUCCGCCUGGGGAGUACGGUCGCAAGACUGAAACUCAAAGGAAUUGACGGGGGCCCGCACAAGCGGUGGAGCAUGUGGUUUAAUUCGAAGCAACGCGAAGAACCUUACCAGGUCUUGACAUCCUCUGACAACCCUAGAGAUAGGGCUUUCCCUUCGGGGACAGAGUGACAGGUGGUGCAUGGUUGUCGUCAGCUCGUGUCGUGAGAUGUUGGGUUAAGUCCCGCAACGAGCGCAACCCUUGAUCUUAGUUGCCAGCAUUCAGUUGGGCACUCUAAGGUGACUGCCGGUGACAAACCGGAGGAAGGUGGGGAUGACGUCAAAUCAUCAUGCCCCUUAUGACCUGGGCUACACACGUGCUACAAUGGACAGAACAAAGGGCUGCGAGACCGCAAGGUUUAGCCAAUCCCACAAAUCUGUUCUCAGUUCGGAUCGCAGUCUGCAACUCGAAUGCGUGAAGCAGGAAUCGGUAGUAAUCGAGGAUCAGCCUGCCGCGGGGAAUACGUUCCCGGUCGUGGUACACACCGCCCCUCAC